RNAcentral lists this ribosomal RNA (429 nucleotides) under uncultured archaeon. Its description in RNAcentral is "bacterial SSU rRNA". It matches the Rfam family "Archaeal small subunit ribosomal RNA", at positions 475 to 903 of the family's 1478-position model. The record is from RNAcentral.
ACCAGCUCUUCAAGUGGUCGGGAUAAUUAUUGGGCUUAAAGUGUCCGUAGCCGGUUUAGUAAGUUCCUGGUAAAAUCGGGUAGCUUAACUAUCUAUAUGCUAGGAAUACUGCUAUACUAGAGGGCGGGAGAGGUCUGAGGUACUACAGGGGUAGGGGUGAAAUCUUAUAAUCCUUGUAGGACCACCAGUGGCGAAGGCGUCAGACUGGAACGCGCCUGACGGUGAGGGACGAAAGCCAGGGGAGCGAACCGGAUUAGAUACCCGGGUAGUCCUGGCCGUAAACGAUGCAUACUAGGUGAUGGCACGGCCAUGAGCCGUGUCAGUGCCGUAGGGAAACCGUUAAGUGUGCCGCCUGGGAAGUACGGUCGCAAGGCUAAAACUUAAAGGAAUUGGCGGGGGAGCACCACGAAGGGGUGAAGCCUGCGGUUC